Molecule: transfer RNA, 88 nt
Filed under: bacterium
Lineage: Bacteria
Description: tRNA-Ser
Rfam family: tRNA
About the family: Transfer RNA (tRNA) molecules are approximately 80 nucleotides in length.
Source: RNAcentral
GGAGGAGUGGCAGAGUUGGUCUAUCGCGUCGGUCUUGAAAACCGAAGCCCGCGAAAGCGGGCCGUGAGUUCGAAUCUCACCUCCUCCG